Dipodomys ordii (Ord's kangaroo rat) is the source of this 1011-nucleotide RNA transcript. It is a transcript of the gene named adaptor-related protein complex 1, sigma 3 subunit, with no coding region annotated. The transcript is spliced from 6 exons. NCBI's taxonomy places the organism in Eukaryota, Metazoa, Chordata, Mammalia, Rodentia, Heteromyidae. The record is from RefSeq and is a predicted model, not a curated record.
CCAUGAUACAUUUCAUCUUGCUGUUCAGUCGACAAGGGAAAUUACGGCUGCAGAAAUGGUACACCACUCUCCCUGACAAAGAGAGGAAAAAAAUCACCCGGGAAAUUGUUCAGCUUGUUCUGUCUCGAGGUCAUCGGACAAGCAGUUUCAUUGACUGGAAGGAGCUGAAACUUGUUUAUAAAAGGUAUGCUAGCUUAUAUUUUUGCUGUGCAGUAGAGAAUCAAGAUAAUGAGCUCUUGACACUAGAGAUUGUACAUCGUUAUGUGGAGUUGCUGGACAAGUACUUUGGAAAUGUCUGCGAGCUGGAUAUCAUCUUUAAUUUUGAAAAGGCGUAUUUUAUCCUUGAUGAGUUUAUAAUAGGUGGAGAAAUUCAGGAAACAUCCAAGAAAACAGCUGUGAAAGCCAUUGAAGAAUCUGACAUGUUACAGGAGCCCCUUUAGCCCUCCAAGUACAUAAUGAGGAAAAACACUUCACUGCACUGCCCAUUGCCCACCAGUUGACAUGAUUGUGUUUGGGGCCCGGAUUCUGUUCCAGUUCUGCCACCAGUAUGUGUGUGUCCCACAUCAACAAUGGAAGAAUACAUGAACAAACCUACAUUUUAACUGUGCAUCUACUUGAAGACUCCAAAUGCUGCAAGUUGUGAAUUUUUAAAAACUCAAUGUUUUGUAUCCAGUCCAGACAGAGCUUCUGGAAUCAUGCCACAAAUAACUUAAAGGGAUUCUUGGUUAACUAGCAAAGAUUCAUGUUGUUUAGCAUAAUACUUUUGAAAUGUCUAUUUCUAUAGUAUACUGUAUAUGAGUCCUUAAUCUGCCUCUGUGUUGGAAAUCACUGCUGUAUAACUCAGCAGAUUGAAUAGUUUGUAAUGUUUUAACUCCAUGAGAUUAUUUGUAAGCUCAUCAAAAGAAAUAACUGCAAUAUAUAUUUUUGGGAUUUGAUUUUCUAAGGGAUGAAAGUUAAACUAUAUUGUAUUAUCUCAUGCUUAUGAAUAUAAAGUAAAACCUAAUGUCAUUA